Dermacentor andersoni is the source of this 2091-nucleotide non-coding RNA. The record is from RefSeq and is a predicted model, not a curated record. Lineage: Eukaryota; Metazoa; Arthropoda; Arachnida; Ixodida; Ixodidae.
GCGCAAACGUGACCCCAUAGAGUUAGUAGAACAACUCUAGAGGAAAAGCUGGGCCGGAAAAGUGGGAACCUCUAGGGCGCCGCCCUGUUGCUACUGGUCAAUGUGGCCAGCGCAAUUACUAUUGAAAGAGCUGAAAACAAGUACAGGUCACCGUAUGCUUUGUCAUCUAAAAACGCAUACCUGAGGUUUUAUGAAGGUGGUGCGUUAAUAUUAAGUUUACAGAAAGCGAUCACUAAGUCCGUGACUUAUGUAAAUCACGAAGUACGCAUUCAUGCAAUAAAGGAUGACGCGAAUUUCGGUUUCGAAUCUGUUUUUUGGAUGCGUAGUAGUUUCGUACAUUUAGGUUUGACAUGCGAUCGCGCGUCGACAUCGGACGCUAUGGCACACUCGUGCCUUAUGUGCCACCGAAGCCCCGAAGUGCCCAGGCAUAUACCUUCACAUGUAAGUAAACGAAUGUAUCUCCUUGUUGAGAAUAUCACGCGAGUAGGCAGCUCUUGUGGGGCAUCACAAUCGUUUGAGAAGCGUCACAGUAGAGCAUUUUUCUACAUGCGGAGCGGCGUUUUUAUUUGCAGGUUUCCCUUCAGUAGGAAAUUGCUGGACAGGCGGACCAGCGCACCGGAAUUGUACUGGCGAAGCCACAAGCAACUCAAAGAAUCUGUUUAAUUGUUGCACUUUGAACAAUCAUGCUUACAAAGGCCACAGCAGAAAAACAGCCUGAUGUCGAGUAUUUCUGUGCCACGAAGUAAUCAAGAGGCGAGUGCCUAAUGCGGACGAAAUCGAGUGCAUCGAGACUUAGAACGACAGAAAGCUGAGCUAGUUGAUAUGCAAUGGCAAGCCCUUCCGUGUGUUCCAAAGGUAAAAUUUAAGCUCUAAAUUAAAGAAGACAUUUCUAGUCAGAAACAAGCAAAAAUGGUGAAUGCAGAGUAUCAGAAGCCCAAGGUACAGAAAUUAUGAGAAGUGUCGAAUGAUUUUAAGGAAAGAAUGGUAUUUGAAGAUGCAAGAUUCUUUAGUGGAAAUCAAGCAAGUCAGUAUAGGUAGAAUACUCUGAGAAAUUAUGCAAGUAAUGGGAUAGCACACAAUGGGUCAGGAAAUGCGUUGUUUUUCUGAAAAACUAAAGCUGAUGACUGUCAUAUCAUGAGUCACUUUAGCAUCAUGAGACUGCUGUUUGAUAAAUUCAGAUAACAAACCAAAAAGCAAGCCAUGCAAAAAAAAAAACUAUUUAAUGAUGUUCUCUCCACACUGGGAUAAAUAAUAAGAAACGGAUCACGUCUAAUGUGGACAUAUCGGAUACCUUGUGAAACACUAAAGGAAAAAUUCAGUUUCGAGCUAUGGCACUUGCCGCAUAGAUGUGGGGGGCCUUGCACCAAUAGUAAUAGUUACCACUGCAUCUAGAAAUUGAAAGCAUUCAUGCAGACAAGGAUGAUUCUUUAUAUUUUUGGCUACCACUUCAAAUGCCUCCACUAAGUGUUACAAUGCUGCACGCAGCCAUACAAAGGAUCUCACAGCAACACUUGCAGGUAAACAGCAAAAACAGUCAAAGUGCUAAUGUAUUCUGGACACUGUCUUUGAAAACUUUUAGGCAAGAACAGUGCAAGAAAAAGAACUGCAUUUAUUUCUAUAAUUCCCCAUUUGAAGGGCCUUUUCUUUUUCCUUCAACAAUGCCUUCGCCUAGCCACAGCAGCUCCCUCAUGCAGACUCCGCAAGCCAAGAGGCCGUGGAGGCAAAUGCAAACAGCCAGCACACCUCGAACAGCCACCUUGACUGCGGGUGUAUCACCCUAGUCGCCAAGGAAACAUUUGAGGGAAAGCGACAGGCAAUGUGAACAGCCACUUCUCCAUGUAAACGAUACUCUUUCUCUCGGAUGACUGCUACGUUCGCCACACCAGCACACGAGGCACGUGCAGGUCAGAGGCAAGAAGCAGUGGCACUGGUGUCGACACUCACCCAAUUUCUUUUUCUUACUCUGGGGCAGCCAGCACACCUCGAACAGCCACCUUAACUGCGGGUGUGUUAGUAGAUUCCUGUUGUACAUAUGCUCAUAAUAAACUUCAGUAAACUUGAACUUGAUAAUAAACUUGAAGGCAAAUGGGA